RNAcentral lists this small RNA (88 nucleotides) under Klebsiella aerogenes. Its description in RNAcentral is "partial RtT sRNA". It matches the Rfam family "RtT RNA", at positions 46 to 130 of the family's 130-position model. Rfam says of the family: This family represents a bacterial cis-regulatory element known as RtT RNA. The exact function of RtT is unknown although it is thought that it may be involved in changing the cellular response in relation to amino acid starvation. The record is from RNAcentral. Lineage: Bacteria; Pseudomonadati; Pseudomonadota; Gammaproteobacteria; Enterobacterales; Enterobacteriaceae.
ACUCGAGCGUCAGCGAGAGAACGUUGCCGCAGGCAACGGCCCGAAGGGCGAGGCGCUUUAGCGCCGAGUAAUCCUUCCCCCACCACCA